CUGUCCUUGUGUCCAUCAAGAACCAAUGGUUUAGCAACACAACGGGAGGGAUCAAAAGAAGGGGCCCUCCACAGCAUGAUCCUUUUUUCUUUUGGAAAGUUGCCGUAUUAACGUGGCCACUAAUAAGUUGUGGGUUUUAUCAUCAUCUAUCAAUUAUUUGGAUUUUUGGACACGAGAGAGUGCAUAAAUAGGAAACAUGUUAGCUUCGUGUUGAAAUAUUGUGCAUGACCGAUCCCCUAGUACUAACGACAUCAUAUCUGAUUCUUCCAGAUUCGUUGUUCACCCUUCAAUUCUGUCUGUCACCUUCUACUCGUGCUGCGCCACCGUCCAGAUAUAUAAUUUCUCCAGACCAGAUAUCACGCUGCUGUUGAAAGCAUGGCGUAAGAAUCUGUGUCCUUGUUAAACUCAGUGUAUAGAAUGGCAGGGAGUAGUUGCUUGACCUCAUCAUUACAAGAGAAUUGGAGAGACGAAGUCUAGCGCUAGCAAGCAUCAGAAGGAGAUCAAGACCCAAUCUGGAAGACCUUGGGCAGUAGAAAAGUCAGAUCAGCAGGAUCAGCAAGUUUGAAGUCUGGGCUGAUGAUAAAAAAAAAGGUUUUAGAAUUUUCAUCAGUGCCAAGCCCAAAGUUGCUUGUUGUCAAUCAUAGCUGAAAAGCAACCAACAAAAGCCUGGUUGUAAAGCCCACAUCUGACAUCCAUAGCUUUCAGUAUCAUCUAUUAAUGUCAAUACCCUCGUGUUGGUUUAGCUAGUAAACUAGCAUAGUGACCGUGUGUUUUCCCGGUAAUUUUUAAAUUUUUUAUUAUUUUAUUAUCUGAUAAUUUAAAUAAAUAUUCAUAAAAAAAUUAAUUAUAAUUUUAGGGGGAAAAUGUACCAUUUCAGUGCAAAUUAUCUUUUCUCAUUCAUGUAUUUUUUAUUUUAAAAAUAACAAUUUUAU
Populus nigra (black poplar) is the source of this 932-nucleotide long non-coding RNA. RefSeq lists it as uncharacterized. The record is from RefSeq and is a predicted model, not a curated record. The transcript is spliced from 2 exons. NCBI's taxonomy places the organism in Eukaryota, Viridiplantae, Streptophyta, Magnoliopsida, Malpighiales, Salicaceae.